UGGGGAAUCUUGGACAAUGGGCGCAAGCCUGAUCCAGCCAUGCCGCGUGAGUGAAGAAGGCCUUAGGGUUGUAAAGCUCUUUUACCAGGGACGAUAAUGACGGUACCUGGAGAAUAAGCCCCGGCAAACUUCGUGCCAGCAGCCGCGGUAAUACGAAGGGGGCUAGCGUUGUUCGGAAUUACUGGGCGUAAAGCGCACGUAGGCGGGUCGUUAAGUCAGGGGUGAAAUCCCGGAGCUCAACUCCGGAACUGCCUUUGAUACUGGCGAUCUAGAGGUCGAGAGAGGUGAGUGGAAUUCCGAGUGUAGAGGUGAAAUUCGUAGAUAUUCGGAAGAACACCAGUGGCGAAGGCGGCUCACUGGCUCGAUACUGACGCUGAGGUGCGAAAGCGUGGGGAGCAAACAGGAUUAGAUACCCCCGUAGUCC
RNAcentral lists this ribosomal RNA (424 nucleotides) under uncultured bacterium. Its description in RNAcentral is "bacterial SSU rRNA". It matches the Rfam family "Bacterial small subunit ribosomal RNA", at positions 355 to 796 of the family's 1533-position model. The record is from RNAcentral.